CUUACCAUGCAAGUCGAACGGUGAUGCAGAGCUUGCUCUGCGGAUCAGUGGCGAACGGGUGAGUAACACGUGAGUAACCUGCCCUCGACUCUGGGAUAAGCGUUGGAAACGACGUCUAAUACCGGAUACGACCCGUGACGGCAUCGUCUGCGGGUGGAAAGAAUUUUGGUUGGGGAUGGACUCGCGGCCUAUCAGCUUGUUGGUGAGGUAAUGGCUCACCAAGGCGACGACGGGUAGCCGGCCUGAGAGGGUGACCGGCCACACUGGGACUGAGACACGGCCCAGACUCCUACGGGAGGCAGCAGUGGGGAAUAUUGCACAAUGGGCGAAAGCCUGAUGCAGCAACGCCGCGUGAGGGACGACGGCCUUCGGGUUGUAAACCUCUUUUGGCAGGGAAGAAGCGAAAGUGACGGUACCUGCAGAAAAAGCACCGGCUAACUACGUGCCAGCAGCCGCGGUAAUACGUAGGGUGCAAGCGUUGUCCGGAAUUAUUGGGCGUAAAGAGCUCGUAGGCGGUUUGUCGCGUCUGCUGUGAAAACGCGAGGCUCAACCUCGCGCCUGCAGUGGGUACGGGCAGACUAGAGUGUGGUAGGGGAGAUUGGAAUUCCUGGUGUAGCGGUGGAAUGCGCAGAUAUCAGGAGGAACACCGAUGGCGAAGGCAGAUCUCUGGGCCAUUACUGACGCUGAGGAGCGAAAGCGUGGGGGAGCGAACAGGAUUAGAUACCCUGGUAGUCCACGCCGUAAACGUUGGGGAACUAGAUGUGGGGUCCAUUCCACGGGAUUCCGUGUCGCAGCUAACGCAUUAA
This 806-nucleotide ribosomal RNA is filed under the name Amnibacterium sp. RNAcentral describes it as "bacterial SSU rRNA". It matches the Rfam family "Bacterial small subunit ribosomal RNA", at positions 48 to 863 of the family's 1533-position model. The record is from RNAcentral. Lineage: Bacteria; Bacillati; Actinomycetota; Actinomycetes; Micrococcales; Microbacteriaceae.